UUAGUAUUCUCAUUUUUUAAAUCUAUCAUAUCUCAUUUUCUCACUCUCAACUCUCUUUCUCUCAGCCGCACCCUUUCUCUUCUCAACUCUCUGUCUCCCUCACAUCUAUCUAACCUAUCAGCAAUCUCUCUAAGUCUCGUUUUUCUCUUGUAGGUGGCUGGCGCGGGAGGCUCGACGGAGAUGGCGAUGGGGCUCGACAGCAUAGGGUCUGGGAUCGUUGGUGGAGAGCGAAACAGAGGAGAGAGAUAGACAAAUGAAGAGAAUGGGAAUUUUUGUUGUGUACAGAAAUAUUCCCAGAAUUUUACUGUACUCUUGUACAUUUUCAGUUAUGAAGAACAAAAGCAAUAGCUCACCUCACUACACCGACCAGGUCUUCUCAGCGGCAGCUCACCUCAAUAGUCACGACACCAGGUCCGAAGGACUCCUCACAGCUUCACAAAAACCAGACAGCAAUAGGGUAGUUGGUAUUCUAUUUAUUUUGUUGUUGUUAGUCUUACAUUAAUUUUUGAAGAAGAGAACUCUAGAGUAUAUCUAUUUAUUGGGCGUCAAAAUAAUAAAUUAAUUGUUAUAUUAUUUUGAUUCUCUAUGGUCCGUUUGGUAAAAUUUUUGUUUUUAAACACAAAAAUAGAAAUAUUAUUUUAUUUUUGUUUUUUUAUUUUUAAAAAAUAAAAAUAUGUUUAGUAACUAUUUUUGUUUUUAAAAACAAAAAAUAAUAAACGUGUUUGAUAACUUUUAUUUUUAUUUUUUGUUUAACAAUGUAAUGUGUUAAUUUGAAAAAGAGAAGGAAAAAAUGAAAACUGUUUAAAAAAAUUUUGAAAGUGAAAAUUUUCUAUUUUCAAAAUUUAAUAAAUUUUGUUUAAAAUUUAAAAAAAUAAAAAAUAAAAAUAGAGUUACCAAACGCUAUUUUAUGUUUAAUUGUCAAAUUUUUAAUUAAUUAAAUAAAAAACUGUUUUUUUAAUGGUUACCAAACAGCACCUAUACGAGUGGAUUGCUGAUUUAUAGAUUUGGAAAUUUAUAGAUAAAAUAUUGAAGUUGGUAUUCUAUUUAUUUGUUGCUGCUCGUCUUCUAUUUAUUUUUGAAUAAGAGACAUCUAGAAUAUAUCUAUCCUGACUAACUAAUAAGUCACAUGAAGUGUGGUGAUGGGUUGAGUCUCCAAUGUAUGAGUUGUGUGAUAUGGUUAUUUAUUUCUGGUUAUGAUGUAGCUCUCUGUCGUUCCAUCAUUGGGGUUGUCCUCAUUUUGGGAGACGAUUUUUAUAAAAAAAAAAAAGUCACAUGGAGCUAUAGUAUCUUGUGAUUGAAUUAUUAAACUAGAAACUAAAUAAGAUAUUCCCAAGUGCUUAAGUGAUUGAUCAUACAUAGAGAAAUAUGUGGGAAUUGAUUUCUAAAUUCCAUUGCUUAGUUAAUAGAAAUAUAAUGCUUGUUAUUGCACCAUAGAUGAGUUCGGUCAUGGCAUGUAAUGUAUCUAGGAUAUUUUCUGUGCUCUUUUUCAAGAAAGUUGCAUGAAACUCAUUUUUAGCAUACAAUCUGAAUUUUUUUAGUUAUGCUGAAGCUUGAAAACUUGCCAUAUUCUUUUAAUUUUUGAGUGAUUUGUUUGCUCUAACAAGUGUAUUUAAAUUAUAUUAAGAUGCCACAACAAAAAUAUUUCAAAUUUUUUGCAUGAAACUCAUUUUUGGCAUCCAAUCUGAUUUUUUCAAGUUUAUUAUGCUGAAACUUGAAAACUUGCCAUAUUUUUUUAGAUUUUUGAGUUUUGAGUGAUUUGUUUGCUCUAACAAAUGUAUUUAAAUGAUUUUAAGAUGCCAUAAAAGAAAUUUUUUCAAGAAAGUUGCAUGAAACACAUUUUUGAUUUACAAUCUGAUUUUUUUUUAGUUUGAUCAUGCUGAAAGGUGAAAACUUGCCUUAUUUUUUGAAUAUUUUAUUUUUCAGGUAGUUUGUUUGCUCUAACAUGGAGGAUACAUGCUUCUCCAACUCAUGACCAAAGGCGGGUCAUGGUGCAUGAGUGACACUGAAUUGGCAUAAAGCUAUAUUUUCAAACAAUAAUUCUUGUCAAUUUUGUGCUAAAAACUUGCAUUUUUGCUAGUAAGCUACAAAUCACUUUUGCAGGUGCAAUAUUUAAGUAUAUUUAUGCCUUUUAUUUUUACAGGUGAAGUAUUUAAGGAUUUCUUGGUUAACAAUCUCAUAGUUACAUUCUGCAAUACUUAAAAGGAUCAUGGUGCUAUUGGUGAGAAAAGUGUGAUUAAAGUUUCGUAUUUAUGGUGUGAUUGUUGUAGGCAUUUUUUCUUGCUAGGUGUACAAUUUAUGCUCGUGAUUUGUUUUUGUUUUAGUCAAUACAUGAAUCAUAUUGCAUUCUUAUAAGACCAUUGCUUUUAUUAUUUUUUUGUACGUUCUUGUUUGUGAGCUUUCAUUAUAUAUUAUAUGAGCAUUCUUUUAUUAUAUUAUUCAUAUAGUUAAUAUGAAGAGCAUGUGGGUAUGAAAAGCAUUAUUCAUUGGAAUUUGUGUUGUUAUUGAUUUUGAUUGGUUUAUUAUUUUGCUUGAAGAUAGAUUUAUUUUUGUUUUACCAUUUACUAGUUUAGGGUCAUCAUGCCUACUCUAUUAAUUUUGCAUGUAUAUAUAUUUGAUCUAUGAGAGAAAGACGUUUGUUUGACAAACAAUGUAAUUUUUUGAACUUUCAAGUCUAAGAUUGGUACCUCAAGAUAUGUGUGUAUGCAAACAAUGCCAUACCAAGGAAUAUAAUUAUUAAGGUUGUCUCAUGGUCGUAGGUUUUGAGUCAACAUCAACAAUUGAAUUUAUUUCCGAGCUAUGUAUUUUGCUUGAGUUUAGAUCUUUAUGAACUUUAAGUGAUAAGAUUACUUCUUUGUAUAUUGAUCAUGAAUUCUUCUAGCUUCUUAGGUAUGAGAGCUAUCAAUGGCACAACAAAGAACGAUGUUCGAGCCUAUCGGAGUGCCUGUGGUGGUCAUGAAGUUCAUUGUCCUGUUUCUUAUGGUUGGAGUUGGGUAUUUGUACUAUGUUUAUAUAUGUAAAUUUGCAUAGAUAUGAGUGUUCUAUAUUUGUGUUAUAUAUAUAUUGUAUAUUGUAAAAUUAUAUAGAUUUAAGUUUGAUUUUUCACAGAUCUGUAGAUUGUAAAUUUAUUGAUAUAUAUUGGUGAUGUUAAGUGUA
Long non-coding RNA from Humulus lupulus (European hop), 3153 nucleotides. RefSeq lists it as uncharacterized. The record is from RefSeq and is a predicted model, not a curated record. The transcript has 2 exons. NCBI's taxonomy places the organism in Eukaryota, Viridiplantae, Streptophyta, Magnoliopsida, Rosales, Cannabaceae.